This 193-nucleotide ribosomal RNA is filed under the name uncultured bacterium. RNAcentral's name for it is "partial 16S ribosomal RNA". It matches the Rfam family "Bacterial small subunit ribosomal RNA", at positions 1308 to 1500 of the family's 1533-position model. The record is from RNAcentral.
CAACUCGACUACAUGAAGCUGGAAUCGCUAGUAAUCGCAGAUCAGAAUGCUGCGGUGAAUACGUUCCCGGGUCUUGUACACACCGCCCGUCACACCAUGGGAGUCGGAUAUGCCCGAAGCCAGUGACCCAACCGUAAGGAGGGAGCCGUCGAAGGUGGAGCCGAUAACUGGGGUGAAGUCGUAACAAGGUACC